RNAcentral lists this ribosomal RNA (544 nucleotides) under Amylostereum areolatum. Its description in RNAcentral is "eukaryotic LSU rRNA". The stretch from base 153 to 306 matches the Rfam family "5.8S ribosomal RNA". The record is from RNAcentral. Lineage: Eukaryota; Fungi; Basidiomycota; Agaricomycetes; Russulales; Stereaceae.
AGCUGGUCUUUCGGGACAAGUGCUCGCCCUUGCUCUUUCCGACACACCCUGUGCACUCCCGCGUGGGCUGCGGUGACUUCGGUUGCCGUGCCCGCGAUUUUAUACACUCUUUGUAUGUCUCAGAAUGUCUUUGCGUGUUGCGCAUCUAAUACAACUUUCAACAACGGAUCUCUUGGCUCUCGCAUCGAUGAAGAACGCAGCGAAAUGCGAUAAGUAAUGUGAAUUGCAGAAUUCAGUGAAUCAUCGAAUCUUUGAACGCACCUUGCGCCCCUUGGUAUUCCGAGGGGCACACCUGUUUGAGUGUCGUGAAUUUCUCAACUCCGCCUCCUUUGCGGGAGCGCGGGGCUUGGAGUUGGAGGCUUGCGGGCGUAAGUCCGCUCCUCUCAAAUGCAUUAGUGAAGCCCAGGUGGCCUCGGCGUGAUAAUUGUCUACGUCCAAGGUUGUCUGUAGCGGUUUUCGCUUCUAACCGUCCUUCGGGACAAUUCAUCGAAACUUGACCUCAGAUCAGGUGGGACUACCCGCUGAACUUAAGCAUAUCAAUAAG